Harpia harpyja (harpy eagle) is the source of this 1144-nucleotide non-coding RNA. NCBI's taxonomy places the organism in Eukaryota, Metazoa, Chordata, Aves, Accipitriformes, Accipitridae. The record is from the annotation of a RefSeq genome assembly.
UCCGGCAGCUGUGCUCUCUCAGGGCUCUUGGUGGGGACGUGUGGCUUUUUUGAGUCUCUCUCACACAUGCAGGAGGAUUGGUCUCAGCAUGCACCUCGGGUAUCUCAUCCUCGCUGCUUUCCUGAGGCAACCACUAGGCACCAUGGGGCAGACCACCGUCACCCAGCAAGAAGGACAAGUCACAGUCAAGGAGAGAGACACCUUCCAGACCACCUGCACCUACCAGGUCACUAACUUUGAUGGAUUGCUCUGGUACCAGCAGAGGAAAGGCCAAGCCCCACAGCUUAUCUCAUAUCAGGCAGCAGCUGGCCCCAGGCGGAGUGGCCGUCUCACCACAUUGCUGAACACCACAGGGAAAAACAGCCUUCUCCAGCUGGAGGAAGUCGAGGUCUCUGACGCUGCCUUGUACCUCUGUGCUGUGCAAGACACGCUGGUGCAGGAAGUUUCCUUGGCUGUGCAAGAAGCCAGGGGAGAGAGGGCAUUGGUUUGUGUGAGGCUGAGCUUGGGGGAAGGGGCCCUCAGCUCUCCCCUGGCAGUGUUGCUUGCCCUGUACACCCAGAGCUCUGCAGGUCAAAAUCCUCUUCCAGGAGAGGACAGUGUCAGUGGCUUGAGAGGAAGAAGAAGGUGGUGAACGAGUCUCAGGUUCCCUCGUUUUCACCGUGGGUUAUGUGGUUAUCCUGCCCAUGGCUUUGGAGAAGUGAUGGGCAAUGUAGGAGGUUGGGACCGCUUCUGCAAUGGUUCCCUGCUGCUCUUAACUUUCUGGUUUUGUCUACUGCACAUUGCUUCUUCAGGUAUUCCUGCAAGCCUGUUCCUUAGAGUACCUGCUCCGGGAUGUGUCCCUCGGAGGUCAGAGUUCAAAGUAAGACGAAAAAUGUAAAUAACAUGCCACAGGACAACGCUCCUUCCAGGAAUUACAUGCUUACAACAAUUUUGGAAAAUACUCAGAACUACUCUGUGGCUCCUCCAGUUGCUGCAUGCCUAUGUGCUGUGAUCCAGAGGACCUGCUGUCCCCCAGUGCACUGUGCCGGUCCUUGGAGGCCUCCUCAUGCCCUGCCUCGUGGGCUUUCCCCAGCCCUGCCUCAUUUCUUCUGCAGUGGGACCAGGCUGUACAACUCUGUACCAGAGCACAAUGGGGGAAGAGACC